GCCGGGGUGGCGAAAUUGGUAGACGCGACGGAUUCAAAAUCCGUUGGGGUAAAACCCGUGCCGGUUCGAGUCCGGCCCUCGGUACCA
This 87-nucleotide transfer RNA is filed under the name Gammaproteobacteria bacterium. RNAcentral's name for it is "tRNA-Leu". It matches the Rfam family "tRNA". Rfam says of the family: Transfer RNA (tRNA) molecules are approximately 80 nucleotides in length. Their secondary structure includes four short double-helical elements and three loops (D, anti-codon, and T loops). Further hydrogen bonds mediate the characteristic L-shaped molecular structure. tRNAs have two regions of fundamental functional importance: the anti-codon, which is responsible for specific mRNA codon recognition, and the 3' end, to which the tRNAs corresponding amino acid is attached (by aminoacyl-tRNA synthetases). tRNAs cope with the degeneracy of the genetic code in two manners: having more than one tRNA (with a specific anti-codon) for a particular amino acid; and 'wobble' base-pairing, i.e. permitting non-standard base-pairing at the 3rd anti-codon position. RNAcentral also lists the same sequence under 1 other name. The record is from RNAcentral. Lineage: Bacteria; Pseudomonadati; Pseudomonadota; Gammaproteobacteria.